AGCAUGUUAAUCAGCGAGGAA
Molecule: ribosomal RNA, 21 nt
Filed under: uncultured Tulasnellaceae
Lineage: Eukaryota; Fungi; Basidiomycota; Agaricomycetes; Cantharellales; Tulasnellaceae
Description: partial 28S ribosomal RNA
Source: RNAcentral